UAACGAGUUCCGGGUCGUCUCCGGCCCGAUCUCCCAUCCCAUGUGUACCUUUCUCGCGUUGCUUUGGCGGGCCCGCUGAGGCGGGGUCCAUCCCCUCUCACCGCCGGCCUCCUGCGCUGACGAGCGCCCGCCAGAGAUACUCGAAACUCUGAUUUGAUCAGUGUCGUCUGAGUAACAUACAAUCGUUAAAACUUUCAACAACGGAUCUCUUGGUUCUGGCAUCGAUGAAGAACGCAGCGAAAUGCGAUACGUAAUGUGAAUUGCAGAAUUCAGCGAAUCAUCGAAGCUUUGAACGCACCUUGCGCCCCUUGGUAUUCCGAGGGGCAUGCCUGUUCGAGCGUCAUUACACCACUCAAGCUCAGCUUGGUGUUGGGCCAUCGCCCGCCUCGCUUCGGCGAUGGGCGUGCCUGAAAAUCAGUGGCGGUGCCAUCCAGCUUCAAGCGCAGUAAGAAUCACUUCCUCGCUUUGGAAGCCUGGGCGGUCGCUAGCCAGACAACCUUAUUAUACUCUUCUAAGGUUGACCUCGGAUCAGGUAGGGAUACCCGCUGAACUUAAGCAUAUCAAUAAGCGGAGGAAAAGAAACCAACCGGGAUUGCCUCAGUAACGGCGAGUGAAGCGGCAACAGCUCAAAUUUGAAAUCUGGCCUCUUCGGGGUCCGAGUUGUAAUUUGGAGAGGAUGCUUCGGGCGUGGCACCGGUCUAAGUUCCUUGGAACAGGACGUCACAGAGGGUGAGAAUCCCGUAUGUGAUCGGCCGCCUUC
RNAcentral lists this ribosomal RNA (760 nucleotides) under Xylona heveae. Its description in RNAcentral is "eukaryotic LSU rRNA". The stretch from base 519 to 760 matches the Rfam family "Eukaryotic large subunit ribosomal RNA", at positions 1 to 239 of the family's 3401-position model. Lineage: Eukaryota; Fungi; Ascomycota; Xylonomycetes; Xylonales; Xylonaceae. The record is from RNAcentral.